GCGAGUUGACGAUAGAAAUUCAUUAGUCUGUCAAUCCACUGACUAAACAAAUUUGUGAUGUUAUCAUGAAUCCCGACAGGUUCCGAUCGC
Molecule: small nucleolar RNA, 90 nt
Organism: Manihot esculenta (cassava)
Lineage: Eukaryota; Viridiplantae; Streptophyta; Magnoliopsida; Malpighiales; Euphorbiaceae
Product: small nucleolar RNA snoR14
Exons: 1
Source: RefSeq, a predicted model, not a curated record